CCAUUCGCGGCCCAUGGUGGACUUCCCGAGCCAAACGGCGGCAGGAGAGGAAGCCGGUGAGAAUCCGGCGCGGUCCCGCCACUGUCACCGGGGAGCACUCUCCCAUCGCCUGUAUGGGGUCACGGCUCGACCGUACGGUUGCUUUCGUACGCGGGGCUGGAAGACCGGGAGGGGCGCGGAUCCGGGAGCCAGGAGACUUUCACCGCCGGUCACGUCGA
Molecule: non-coding RNA, 218 nt
Filed under: Streptomyces violaceusniger
Lineage: Bacteria; Bacillati; Actinomycetota; Actinomycetes; Kitasatosporales; Streptomycetaceae
Source: RNAcentral